RNAcentral lists this ribosomal RNA (253 nucleotides) under uncultured bacterium. RNAcentral describes it as "partial 16S ribosomal RNA". It matches the Rfam family "Bacterial small subunit ribosomal RNA", at positions 524 to 776 of the family's 1533-position model. The record is from RNAcentral.
UACGAAGGGGGCAAGCGUUGCUCGGAAUGACUGGGCGUAAAGGGCGCGUAGGCGGCUCGAUUUGUCAGGCGUGAAAGUCCUGGGCUCAACCUCGAGACGUCGGUUAAAACCAUCUGGCUAGAGUCCGGAAGAGGAGUGUGGAAUUCCCGGUGUAGCGGUGAAAUGCGCAGAUAUCGGGAAGAACACCCGUGGCGAAGGCGGCACUCUGGGACGGUACUGACGCUGAGACGCGAAAGCGUGGGGAGCGAACAGG